Molecule: ribosomal RNA, 497 nt
Filed under: uncultured bacterium
Lineage: Bacteria
Description: partial 16S ribosomal RNA
Rfam family: Bacterial small subunit ribosomal RNA
Source: RNAcentral
GAUGAACGCUGGCGGCGUGCCUAAUACAUGCAAGUCGAGCGAACGGACGAGAAGCUUGCUUCUCUGAUGUUAGCGGCGGACGGGUGAGUAACACGUGGAUAACCUACCUAUAAGACUGGGAUAACUUCGGGAAACCGGAGCUAAUACCGGAUGAUAUUUUGAACCGCAUGGUUCAAAAGUGAAAGACGGUCUUGCUGUCACUUAUAGAUGGAUCCGCGCUGCAUUAGCUAGUUGGUAAGGUAACGGCUUACCAAGGCAACGAUGCAUAGCCGACCUGAGAGGGUGAUCGGCCACACUGGAGCUGGGACACGGUCAAGACUCCUACGGGAGGCAGCAGUAGGGAAUCUUCCGCAAUGGGCGAAAGCCUGACGGAGCAACGCCGCGUGAGUGAUGAAGGUCUUCGGAUCGUAAAACUCUGUUAUUAGGGAAGAACAUAUGUGUAAGUAACUGUGCACAGCUUGACGGUACCUAAUCAGAAAGCCCCGGCUAACUACGUG